CCAUAGCCCCGAUGGAAGUGGAAAUCCUUUCGCUUUUUUCUUUAAAAAGCGAAAGAUUGUAGCGCACAGCGGGAAACAGC
This 80-nucleotide small RNA is filed under the name Flavobacterium hercynium. RNAcentral's name for it is "Flavo-1 RNA". It matches the Rfam family "Flavo-1 RNA". Lineage: Bacteria; Pseudomonadati; Bacteroidota; Flavobacteriia; Flavobacteriales; Flavobacteriaceae. The record is from Rfam by way of RNAcentral.